GGCCAUUCCAAAAUUUGGGGUCCUCUCCUGGUCCGGUCUCAGGGAUCAGCUUAAAGUGCAGGUGGGGGGCCAGGACACCAGGAGCCCUGAGCCUGCUUCGUGCAACCCAGGCCUGUGUGGGACCCAGCUGGGGUCUCAGGUCCCUGGGCAGCGGGGCAGGGAACUUGCUCUCCGGAGCAGGCCAAACCUGGAAGGCGUUCCUGCUGCUUCUCUCCUAACAAGGGACCCACGAGGCAGAGGUGGUCAGGGCCGCUCAGAGGCUUCUGGGAGGUGCAGAAGGCAGGUGCCCAGCUCUGGUUAUUCAUUUGCUCUCACAGCAAUCCGAGGAGACAGGCACUAAUGUCCCUUAGGUACCAACAGUAUUCGUAUUUUCCAGGGGGAUAAACUAAGCCACAGAGAGUUAAGUCACCGGCCCCAGGUCCCUGACCCCAGGCAUGUAGCUGGCGUCCCUGGCAUUUGUUGAGAAGAUGAAGCUGAAUGCAGAUGUGACCCGCACAAGGUCAGGAGCCCAGGAUUGGAACCCAGAUCUGGUGUCAGAAGUUCUUGGGUUUCGGGUCCUCGGCUGAGCCUCCUCUGCAGCCCUGGGACCCACCCAGGAGGCACGGCUGGCGUCUGCCCUCGAGGGCACCCUGCACCUUGUGGCCAGCUUCCCAGAGCUCCCGACCUUUCCUUUCCAAUGGAGGCUGCAAGAAGCAGCCCCUGACACAGGACCCAGCCCAGCCCUCCCAGCCAGGCCUGGGUGUCAUCCUGCCACACGGAAGUGAUUUCAGUCACUGAUGUCAGACAGGGCCACUCUGUGACCAGGAUGGAUCAAGACAAAACAUCGAGAGCACGCUGCCAUCAUGUCUGAAUACAGACAAAAAAACCAACACCCUCCAAACCACAAACACGACCCAAUGUCCUCUAUCUUCGUUGCCUGAGUGACAGCAGCUUCAGCACCCAUUCACUUCUCUUCCUUUCCAGAUAAAAGCCACUAAGAUCCCCCAUCACAGGAUCGCCUCCGCUUUGUGAGCACACGCCUGAGACAAAGGCUCCGUCUCCUUGCAUCCUCCCGGAAGCACCCAGAACAAGCCCCCGUUUUUCCAGUCCUUCCUAGGACCCUGUGCGCAGAUGGUCCCCGGCUUCCCAGGUGUGCACGCCCCUUCGUUCCAACCGCCAAUAAACCCCCACUGCGCUCAGGCAGGUGACUCUGGUGGCCCUUGGCUGGGACCCUGCACGAAGUCUCACAACUGAACAAGACUCGGUUUGUUCAGCCCAUUUCAUUGAUGCCUCUGGAGCCACAGCAGUGAGUCAGCCCCAAAGUAUCAGCCCCCGGGAGGCACGACGGGGCCAGAGGGGAGCCUUCACUCCAUCUGUCCCCAGGAGCCUUCAGCUCCAUCUGUCCCCAGGAGGCCUAUUUCCAGCCCUGUGGCUGGAGAAAGAAUGUUCGCUGCUUGAUGGUCCUGCAGCACCUGCUGGCCCCGUCCGCUGUCCUCUCCGCCCCAGCCCUGUGGUAGGGCGUUGGCACCUGCAGGAGGAGACGGAGAAAGGGAACGAGUGCUUGGGCCAGAAGCCCUGGGCCCUGCGCUUGCCUCUGCCUCUCAUUUGCCAUGUAGCCUGCUCCUCAGUUUAUCCAUCAGGACAAUGGGUGGGUGAGGCCGAGGCAGGUGAAAGGUUGAAGGGACUUGCCCACCUGGGCCCGCUCUCUCCCUUGCCUGAAAUCCUCAGGUUCAGGCAGGGCAGAAACCUUCUGGUCUCCCGCUCUCUACCCUGGUUCCCUGAGGGUUAAUCCACCUUCUAGAACAGACACAGGGCUGACCUGAGGCGCAGGUGAGCAUCUGGGGGAUUCCAUAUGUCCCCGGUCACUAGAGCCCUGGCUGGGUAGGGAGCCGUGUUGCUCGUGACCAGUGGAAAGCUUCGGGCUCAGGCUCUGUGUCCUUCCAGCCCCGUUCCUCCUCGCUCCCUGGAUCAGGGACCACAUCCAAGCCAAACAGGAUGGUCAGGACGGAGCCGGAGGUGGCCCGGGUAGGGCCCACAGGGCCUCGGGGCUCCUAGGGAGGAGGCGGUGGCAGUUGAGGAAGAAGGUCUCUGUAGCUUCAUUCAGCUCUAAAUCCUGCUGUCUGGUGACUGGGGAUGUGGCAUUCUCCUCUCUGCCCCAGGCGGGAGGAGAGGAAGGAAGCAGAGCUGGGGACUGAGGUGUGAGCCAACAGGUGACCUUUCAAAAGAAGAAUCCUUUUCUUUCCCUGCAGCCCAUCUUCAGGAGGGAAGAGAGAAUCCAGAAAGCCUGUGGGUCCUUCAGUGCCCUCUCCUCACACUCUAUUCAGAUUCACCCUUCCAGGCCCUUCCACAUCCCCCUCCCAAAUGCCUCUCCCCUCUGCCCGGAAGUCCCUCCCCGCCAUAUCCCCUUUGCUUGGAGAUUCCAUCCAUCAAGCCUCAUCUUAAUGUCACUUCCUCCAAGAAGCCUCCCCUGGUUGGAUCUUGGAUGUACCUAUGGCUCUCUCUGCCCCUCCCUCCCAAAUUUGAACACACUGAGUGGUAAGUCACUGUCUGUGACCUUCCUCCAGGGUUAGCAGCAGCCUAUCUUGUUCACCCCUGAAUCCCCACUGCCUGGGAUGAGCCUGGCAUACAGUGGGUGCCACAUAAAUGUUUGAUGAUGAGUGAUCACAGUGAUGGAGAUGAGAACUUUAGAGGCCAGAGCUGAAAGCAAAGAACCUUAAGUUGGAAAGGUUUUGGUGGCAACGCUCUGAGCAAGAUUUGGAGAUUGGGGUGCCUGAGACAAGUAGGAAGGGGGUUGCCCUGGUCUAGGCACAGCCUGGCAAAGAUGAGGAGAACCAGUGGGAAAUGAUGGCUCUGAGAGACUUCUACUUCAAGUAAGGCUGGGACUUAGAUCCUGCUAAGGACAACUCCAAUCCCUAGAUCAAUUUUUUGAAAAAAAAAAAAAAAUUCAUCUUCUUAAGACCACUGAACAGUUCAGUAGGUAGAAGCCAGGCGCAGUGGUGCCCGUGUGUAGUUCCCAGCUACUUGAGAGGCUGAGGCAAGAGGAUCACUUGAGUCCAGGAAUUCAAGACCAGCCAGGGCAACACAGUGAGAUCAUGUCUCAAAACAAAAACAAAACUUAACAAGGUAACAAGAGGGGCUGGGGUUGUGGCUCAGAGGUAGAGUGCUUGCCUAGCAUGCAUGAGGCACUGGGUUCAAUCCUCAGCACCCCAUAAAAAUAAAAUACAGAUAUUGUGUCCAAUAACUAAAAAAAUAAAUAUUAAAAAAAACAAGGUAGCAAAGAAUUUUCUAGCAAAGAAUAUUCUAACCAGAAUUCAGAAGGCAAGAAUCCAGGGGAAAUGUCCAGUGUGCAAGACCACAUUUUCCCUGGAGCAUUUGCCAACAGGAAAGAAACAGCUUUGAAACCAACCUGUGGUUGUGAUGUCCUCAUGGGGCAGGGGUGAGAGAAGGAGGGUAAAAGGUGAACCCAGGGACCCGGGGUGCUCAGUGGUGGAGUACCUGGUUAACAUGGAUGAGGCCCAGGUUCAACCCCCAGCACCACAAAAAAGAAAAGAAAAAGGAAAAAAGAAGGAAGAAAAGAUGAGGAAUCCAGUACUCUAUGUCACCUUUAAAUCAAAAUGUCCUUGAAUAAAGGUGAACCAAACCUUGAGCCCAGUCACAUGGGUGAUUCAAGAAAUUCAGCCCCUGAACAUGAAUUAAAGGGCCUUGGAUUAGUAAUGACCCCAGGUAUCUGGUAGACAUGAACAAAAAACUUGUCUAAAGGGGAGUGACAGCAUCUGAGGCCUCAUAUGAUUCUCAUAAAUUAUUUUCAGAUGUGGUGAGCAGAGCACAAAGAUAACCAGGCAUACAAGGAGACAAGACCCCAUGAGCAAGAAUCAGCACAAACAAAAGACAACAGAGGUUGACCAUGAUGAGUUCUGAUACAGGAAUUAUCAGACAUUAUGGCCUUUGAAAGGUGUUUAAAAAAAAAAACAUAAGAAUCACAGGCUUACAGAUCCUCGUGGUCUAGCUGAUCCUAAAAUUCCACAUGGAGAUGGAAGGAACCCCUAAUAGCAAAAAGAAUCAGGAAAAGAACAAAUUUGAAGGCUCAUAGCUCCUUAUUCCAAGAUAGAUAGACAGAUAGAUAGAUUACCUUUAUUUUAUUUAUUUGUUUUUCUGUGGUGCUGAGGAUCGAACCCAGUGACUCACACAUGAGAGGCAAGUGUUCUGCCCACUGAGCUACAGCCUCAGCCCCAUGAUUCCAAGACUUAAUGCAAAGCUACAAUAAUCAAGACUGUGCCGGACCAACCUUUAGACAGACAAAUAGACCAAAAGAAUGUAACUUAGAGUUCAGAAAUAAACCCACGUGUUUGUGCUCAUUUGAAUUUUGACAAGGGUACUAAGAGAAGUCAGUGUGGGGGCAGAGUUUUCAACACAUUAUGCUGGGACAACUGGACCUUUACAUUGUGAAAUAAUGAAAUUGUCCCUCUACCUCACACCAUAUACCCCAGUAACCAUUAACUCAAAACGAGGGUGGAGGCCUCAGGAAGGAGAUUCAUGUCAUAAGAUACAAGAGAGUUUUCUCCCUCUUUCCCUACCCCACUCCUAGCUCCCUCUUUUUUCUCUACCACUGAGAAUACAGCAAGGAGAUAGCCAUCUGUGUCAGGAGGGAAGUUCUUAUC
Molecule: transfer RNA, 4637 nt
Filed under: Marmota monax (woodchuck)
Lineage: Eukaryota; Metazoa; Chordata; Mammalia; Rodentia; Sciuridae
Rfam family: tRNA (bases 3118-3188)
Source: RNAcentral